AUCUCGUUUAAAGAAAACCGGCAAGCGAGAUUGUGGAGGACCCCUGGCUCAUGGAGUGAGUAUUGUGGCAUUGGUGCCUUUGAUUUCUGUCACUUCUCCAUCAAUCCAUGCGAGUUCUGGAUCCUCGACCCAGACAUGUGACCCGAGUGUGAUAUUUACAGGAGUCCCCUAACAUUGUUCAUCAAAGCAAGAUUUUCAGUAGUCAUAUUCAGAUGAGAUGAUAGGAUAAAGCAACAUAAAAUUAAUGGGAAGGCUUACCAUAACUCAAGCUCUUAAGCUGACUAUCUGCAGCAGUUGAAGAACAGAGAGAUCGAAAGAGAAGGUAAUAUAGAAAGAGAGAAUUGAGCUCUUUGAGAGAGAGAAAAAGAGAGAGAGAUGAAUCAUAAAUAAGAAAAAGGUGACUAUGAAUCCAAGAAAAUGCAGGAGAUUCUUAGCUAAGAAAGUGCCCUUUUCCCUCACCUCUGGGUUCCACCGAGUCUCUUAACUGUUUCUACAGAUUUUAAAGCUUAAGAUGCAGCAAAUCCACUGUUUUCAGAUAUUCUCUCUCGGGUCAUUUGCUUGAAAACCAUGCUUGAGCAUUCGAUCGGAAGCUGUUUGGUCUAAGAACAAUAAAGUGGCCUGCUUUACAUUUUGAUAUAGCAACUGCACCAACUUUUCUCUCGAUCGUCCAUGGCCAGCAGAGGCAAAGGCUCAAGGGACUUGUCAUGGUGCUUAAACUUGAAGUCAUCACCUUAAAAGCAAUGGCCGGUGGGGAAUCUCCGGCUGCGGCUGAAGCCGGUGUCCGAAGCUGGGCCAUUUGGAUUAACUUUUCCAACUAGACUUGGCUUUUUUUAGUUUUUGUUUUUCUUUUUAAUUAUGGUCUAAAGUUUUUAAUAUACUACAAGGUUAGAUAAUAUUCAGACCUGCAUCAUUGUUUGUCUAAUUUUCCAAAUUUCGCGAUCCAAGAACAUCAUGA
This is a long non-coding RNA of Eutrema salsugineum, 955 nucleotides long. RefSeq lists it as uncharacterized. The record is from RefSeq and is a predicted model, not a curated record. The transcript is spliced from 5 exons. Lineage: Eukaryota; Viridiplantae; Streptophyta; Magnoliopsida; Brassicales; Brassicaceae.